Molecule: ribosomal RNA, 367 nt
Filed under: uncultured bacterium
Lineage: Bacteria
Description: bacterial SSU rRNA
Rfam family: Bacterial small subunit ribosomal RNA
Source: RNAcentral
GACGAACGCUGGCGGCGUGCUUAACACAUGCAAGUCGAGCGGAAAGGCCCUUCGGGGUACUCGAGCGGCGAACGGGUGAGUAACACGUGAGCAACCUGCCCUGGACUUUGGGAUAACCCUCGGAAACGGGGGCUAAUACCGGAUAUUACCUUUGCCCGCAUGGGUGUUGGUGGAAAGUUUUUCGGUCUGGGAUGGGCUCGCGGACUAUCAGCUUGUUGGUGGGGUNAUGGCCUACCAAGGCGACGACGGUUAGCCGGCCUGAGAGGGCGACCGGCCACACUGGGACUGAGACACGGCCCAGACUCCUACGGGAGGCAGCAGGUGGGGAAUAUUGCACAAUGGGCGGAAGCCUGAUGCAGCGACGCCG